GAUAAACGCUGGCGGCGUGCCUAAUGCAUGCAAGUCGCACGGGAGCUUCGGCUCCAGUGGCGGACGGGUGAGUAACACGUAGGAACCUGCCCGAGAGUGGGGGACAACUCCGCGAAAGCG
This 120-nucleotide ribosomal RNA is filed under the name uncultured bacterium. RNAcentral describes it as "partial 16S ribosomal RNA". It matches the Rfam family "Bacterial small subunit ribosomal RNA", at positions 28 to 159 of the family's 1533-position model. The record is from RNAcentral.